RNAcentral lists this ribosomal RNA (474 nucleotides) under uncultured bacterium. RNAcentral's name for it is "bacterial SSU rRNA". It matches the Rfam family "Bacterial small subunit ribosomal RNA", at positions 52 to 512 of the family's 1533-position model. The record is from RNAcentral.
UAUCUGCAGUAGACGCUGAAGGAGGAGCUUGCUUCUCUGGAUGAGUUGCGAACGGGUGAGUAACGCGUAGGUAACCUGCCUGGUAGCGGGGGAUAACUAUUGGAAACGAUAGCUAAUACCGCAUAAUAUUGACUAUUGCAUGAUAGUUGAUUAAAAGGUGCAAUUGCACCACUACCAGAUGGACCUGCGUUGUAUUAGCUAGUUGGUGGGGUAACGGCUCACCAAGGCGACGAUACAUAGCCGACCUGAGAGGGUGAUCGGCCACACUGGGACUGAGACACGGCCCAGACUCCUACGGGAGGCAGCAGUAGGGAAUCUUCGGCAAUGGACGGAAGUCUGACCGAGCAACGCCGCGUGAGUGAAGAAGGUUUUCGGAUCGUAAAGCUCUGUUGUAAGAGAAGAACGAGUGUGAGAGUGGAAAGUUCACACUGUGACGGUAUCUUACCAGAAAGGGACGGCUAACUACGUGCCAGC